Molecule: long non-coding RNA, 1259 nt
Organism: Dendroctonus ponderosae (mountain pine beetle)
Lineage: Eukaryota; Metazoa; Arthropoda; Insecta; Coleoptera; Curculionidae
Exons: 2
Source: RefSeq, a predicted model, not a curated record
UUACGUAUUUUUCAACCACUUUAACUAAAGUCAUUCAUUCAUUCAGCUAAAAAUUAGAUCCAUAGGAGGGCAAAAAUCAUAGAAAAAUCGAUUAAUUAAACCAGAAAACGCUAAUGUAAAGCUUUUCUAAACCAGUGUCAAGCGUUUGAUGUACAAAAAAGAUUAAGAAAGUCGAUGGACUGACUUGAAUUAAGUAUCCCAAUUUUACGAUAAUAGAGAAUUACUGAUGGUUGGUCUUCCUGCUUAACUAGUUUUAGUAAUGUAAGACGUAAGUAAAUAACGAAACCAAUAAAUUCUAAACGACCACCAAAGUGGACAUAGAAGCCGUGCAGAUAAAGGUUGACAUGUACAGUAGCGGUAGGACAUCAUGCGGAACUAUUGAGGACCGUUUCAAAGGGAAGAUUUUUAUGUACAAAAGCUGACCCAAAUUCCGAUCAUCCUAUUCAAGUACGUCGUUCUACCGCCCAACGAGAACUUUCUCAAAUUCGUAGAACUCAGGGCUUGAGCUGAUUACAAGCUCCUCCCUACGCGGAGAAUUUGGGGAAAAUUUGACUCAAACUCCACCCAACCUGGGGGUGUGAAUCUGUCAAUAAAUAAGGGUGAAAUCACGGGCCGUACUGUUAGUUCAAAUUCGCAUUAGAGCAGCAAUUAUCAGUGAUUUCGUGUUAGUGUAAAAAUCAACAUCAGGGACGGGUACUGGCUGUGGAUGUCCCGCAGUACCUGGACUCUGGACCCAUUGUGAGGGAGAACGCUAGUAGGCGGGUACUGGCUGUGGAUGACCCGCAGUACCUAGUGGCCAAUUAAGAUACUGUUUAUCAUGAUAAAUGUCGGUGACUAGUAAAGCUUUUCCUGAGCAGGUAUUUCGCGCGCCGUACCCUUAAUACCUAUUAACAACCCAAGUUUAGCCGUGGCAGGAUGCAACUUCGGUUGUAGUUUUGCGGGGUUCAGAGAUAGAUUGAUAAUACUCCGAUAGAGUAAAGUUACUACUGUAAAUUAAGUUAUAGGUAGAUAACUGUUGACUCCAAGUGAUGCACUCUAGGUGAGUCGCUCCUUGUUUGAGGCACGUUUGGCGCUUGUAGCUGAUUCUGACAUGUUUUAAUGAUUCUCAUAAUAAUAACAUAAAUCUAAUUUUUGUUGAACUGGUUACUCAAUUACUUUUUCUAAAUUGAUUUCAGAUGUAUUCUCUCGAUCGACCACCUGACGAACUGCCAUUACACAUUGUCUACUGUUUGGGAGUGUAAAUAUAUGUUUUUAUAGUA